GACGGAGGGCGCAAGCGUUGUUCGGAAUUACUGGGCGUAAAGCGCGGGCAGGUGGUUCUUUAAGUCCUUUGUGAAAGUCAAAGGCUCAACCUUUGAACGCCGAUGGAUACUGCCGGGCUAGAGUCCGGAAGAGGCGAGUGGAAUUCCUGGUGUAGCGGUGGAAUGCGCAGAUAUCAGGAGGAACACCAAUAGCGAAGGCAGCUCGCUGGGACGGUACUGACGCUGAGGCGCGAAAGCGUGGGGAGCGAACAGG
This 253-nucleotide ribosomal RNA is filed under the name uncultured bacterium. RNAcentral describes it as "partial 16S ribosomal RNA". It matches the Rfam family "Bacterial small subunit ribosomal RNA", at positions 524 to 776 of the family's 1533-position model. The record is from RNAcentral.